CCAUCACCCUUCAUUAACCCAAAAACCCCUAAAAAAAUCCCUAACCUAGGAACACCAGCGAAGAACAGACCCCUCCUUCCAAACACCAUCAACGAUCCUUCUUCUUGAUUCUAUUCCAACGCCCAGCCAAAAACCAACGGCCGUCGCCGCCGGAAAAGCCUCCCUUCUCCAAAAUUAGCUGCCACCUAUCGCCACUUCUUCUUCUUCGCUUCUCCACCCUUCAACUCCAGCCGCACACCACAAAAUCGGUGCCCGAUGACGACCCCAAUACAGCCAUCACAAGUCCCAAAAUCAGCCCGAACUUAGCUAAGAUUACUCUCCAAAGCAGACUCAAAAUGACUCCAAACAGUCCUCAAAGCUGUCACCAAAAAUCAGUAAAAACGGGUUCCUUAACUGAAGUUAAAAGAAGCUUGGAGAGUCGAGUUUUCAGUUCGCUGUCGAUAGUUACCGGAGGUUUCCUGUCAUGUUCGCCGCUCCGUCAACGUUGUCGCAGUCUAAGGUUUCCGAUGUUGAGCAUUUUGCGAUUCAAAUUUAUUUUGCUUUAAGGUAUGGAUCAGUGUACCAGAGCUCGAGCAUGACAGAUACCCCAAGACCAUCGCAUUUGGGAGUUUGUUUGAAGAGACUUUAUAUUUUGAGUCUGUUUUCAUAUUUUCUUUCUUGUAUUGUCUAGUAGUUUUGAGUCUUUUAGCUGGUGUAAGAGUUUGCCGAGUCUUUUUUCAUCGUACUUCCCAUUUGUAUAUGAAGAAAGAAAUAGUUACAAAUGAAAAAUUCAAAAGUUUUUUGUCUUUAGUU
Nicotiana attenuata is the source of this 792-nucleotide long non-coding RNA. RefSeq lists it as uncharacterized. The record is from RefSeq and is a predicted model, not a curated record. Lineage: Eukaryota; Viridiplantae; Streptophyta; Magnoliopsida; Solanales; Solanaceae. The transcript has 2 exons.